GGGCCCUAGUGCCCGGAGGUUCAGAUUCCCUGGCCUUGCGAAUGACAUCUGUGCGAUCCUGGAAACAUCUGGGGAAAUGAGGGACUCAAUUAGCCCCUGAUGGUGUGAAUACAGAUGGAUCUAACCACAAAAUGGGGCUGCCCAGGUGGCUCAGACAGUAAAGAAUCCAUCUGCAAUGUGCGAGACCUUGGUUCCAUCCCUUGGAUGGGAAGAUCCUCUGGAGAAGGAAAUGACAGUGAAGCUGGGACAGGCACAUGACCAAAGACGGGACGAUUGGAUGCUCCGACUGAGGACUUUGAACUCAAGGGAGUGACGCAAAGAAACAG
Molecule: long non-coding RNA, 326 nt
Organism: Bos taurus (domestic cattle)
Lineage: Eukaryota; Metazoa; Chordata; Mammalia; Artiodactyla; Bovidae
Source: Ensembl